UGGGGAAUAUUGGACAAUGCGGGCAACCGUGAUCCAGCAAUGCCGCGUGAGUGAAGAAGGCCUUAGGGUUGUAAAGCUCUUUUACCCGGGAUGAUAAUGACGGUACUUGAGGAAUCAGCAUCGGCUAACUCCGUGCCAGCAGCCGCGGUAAUACGGAGGAUGCAAGCGUUAUCUGGAAUAAUUGGGCGUAAAGCGUUCGUAGGUGGUUCUGUAAGUCUGCUGUUAAAGCGUGUAGCUCAACUACAUAUAGGCAGUGGAAACUACAAAACUAGAGUGCGUUCGGGGCAGAGGGAAUUCCUAGUGUAGCGGUGAAAUGCGUAGAGAUUAGGAAGAACCCCGGUGGCGAAAGCGCUCUGCUAGGCCGCAACUGACACUGAGGGACGAAAGCUAGGGGAGCGAAUGGGAUUAGAUACCCCGGUAGUCC
RNAcentral lists this ribosomal RNA (424 nucleotides) under uncultured prokaryote. RNAcentral's name for it is "bacterial SSU rRNA". It matches the Rfam family "Bacterial small subunit ribosomal RNA", at positions 355 to 796 of the family's 1533-position model. The record is from RNAcentral.